AGUGGCGAACGGGUGAGUAAUAUAUCGGAACGUGCCCAGUCGUGGGGGAUAACGUAGCGAAAGUUACGCUAAUACCGCAUACGAUCUACGGAUGAAAGCGGGGGACCGUAAGGCCUCGCGCGAUUGGAGCGGCCGAUAUCAGAUUAGGUAGUUGGUGGGGUAAAGGCUCACCAAGCCAACGAUCUGUAGCUGGUCUGAGAGGACGACCAGCCACACUGGAACUGAGACACGGUCCAGACUCCUACGGGAGGCAGCAGUGGGGAAUUUUGGACAAUGGACGCAAGUCUGAUCCAGCCAUUCCGCGUGCAGGAUGAAGGCCCUCGGGUUGUAAACUGCUUUUGUACGGAACGAAAAGGUCUCUAUUAAUACUAGGGGCUCAUGACGGUACCGUAAGAAUAAGCACCGGCUAACUACGUGCCAGCAGCCGCGGUAACACGUAGGGUGCAAGCGUUAAUCGGAAUUACUGGGCGUAAAGCGUGCGCAGGCGGUUAUGUAAGACAGAGGUGAAAUCCCCGGGCUCAACCUGGGAACUGCCUUUGUGACUGCAUAGCUAGAGUACGGUAGAGGGGGAUGGAAUUCCGCGUGUAGCAGUGAAAUGCGUAGAUAUGCGGAGGAACACCGAUGGCGAAGGCAAUCCCCUGGACCUGUACUGACGCUCAUGCACGAAAGCGUGGGGAGCAAACAGGAUUAGAUACCCUGG
Molecule: ribosomal RNA, 700 nt
Filed under: uncultured beta proteobacterium
Lineage: Bacteria; Pseudomonadati; Pseudomonadota; Betaproteobacteria
Description: bacterial SSU rRNA
Rfam family: Bacterial small subunit ribosomal RNA
Source: RNAcentral